GGAGUCCUGUGGUGUACGUCAAUACUCUACGUUUUGAGCCAACACUUUAAAAAAGGGAGCCCCCGUUUCAACGAAGGUUGCAUGCCGUUAUCACGGAUAACGGAAGCAUAAAGUCGAUGAACAGGGCACCCACCUGUUAACGCAGGUUCAAACAAGGAAGACCAAACGGCACACAUGGGACCCCA
RNAcentral lists this non-coding RNA (185 nucleotides) under Evansella vedderi. RNAcentral describes it as "6S / SsrS RNA". It matches the Rfam family "6S / SsrS RNA". From Rfam's summary of the family: E. coli 6S RNA was the first non coding RNA to be sequenced, but its function was unknown until recently. It consists of 184 nucleotides that fold into an extended hairpin structure with a large single-stranded internal bulge. Lineage: Bacteria; Bacillati; Bacillota; Bacilli; Caryophanales; Bacillaceae. The record is from RNAcentral.